AUUGAACGCUGGCGGAAUGCUUUACACAUGCAAGUCGAACGAUGAACCUUAGCUUGCUAGGGGGAUUAGUGGCGAACGGGUGAGUAACAUAUCGGAACGUACCUAGUAAUGGGGGAUAACUAGUCGAAAGAUUAGCUAAUACCGCAUACGCCCUGAGGGGGAAAGUAGGGGAUCUUCGGACCUUACGUUAUUAGAGCGGCCGAUAUCUGAUUAGCUAGUUGGUGGGGUAAAGGCCUACCAAGGCGACGAUCAGUAGCUGGUCUGAGAGGACGACCAGCCACACUGGAACUGAGACACGGUCCAGACUCCUACGGGAGGCAGCAGUGGGGAAUUUUGGACAAUGGGGGCAACCCUGAUCCAGCCAUUCCGCGUGAGUGAAGAAGGCCUUCGGGUUGUAAAGCUCUUUCGCAAGGGAAGAAAACUUACAUUCUGAUAAAGUGUGAGGCUGACGGUACCUUGAUAAGAAGCACCGGCUAACUACGUGCCAGCAGCCGCCGCGG
RNAcentral lists this ribosomal RNA (500 nucleotides) under uncultured bacterium. Its description in RNAcentral is "partial 16S ribosomal RNA". It matches the Rfam family "Bacterial small subunit ribosomal RNA", at positions 30 to 523 of the family's 1533-position model. The record is from RNAcentral.